This 205-nucleotide ribosomal RNA is filed under the name uncultured bacterium. RNAcentral's name for it is "partial 16S ribosomal RNA". It matches the Rfam family "Bacterial small subunit ribosomal RNA", at positions 568 to 774 of the family's 1533-position model. The record is from RNAcentral.
CGUGUAGGCGGCUAUCUAAGUCUGAUGUGAAAGCCCUGGGCUCAACUCAGGAAGUGCAUUGGAUACUGGAUAGCUGGAGUACCGGAGAGGAGGGUGGAAUUCCUGGUGUAGCGGUGAAAUGCGUAGAUAUCAGGAGGAACACCGGUGGCGAAGGCGUCCCUCUGGCCGGAUACUGACGCUGAGACGCGAAGCGUGGGAGCAAACA